CCUGCACAGGUUAAGUCAGAAGAGAUACCUGUCACUCUGCGUGCAGUAUUUUGUCCAAUAAUCCUGAGUUCUGAAAAGGUGCAUUUUACUCAGAGGGUAAUCUCCAUUUGUUUAGGACAUGAAGUCAGCACAGUACAAACAACAACCAUAAUACACUAACAUAACACAAGCUAAGCCUGAAACACAACUUGGCACUUGAGUAGUGAUAUGCAAACAUAGUGAUGGAACAAAAAGCUUCAACUGUUUUUAUUCUUAUGUCUUGAGGAAGAAAUCCAAAUACUGCUUUGUUCAUAUACAGAAUCUGUGGGAUCCUAAAAUGCCGAGUAUUCACCAUCUAGAUAACUUCAGAACAAUGAACUAAAACACAAGUGACUACUACCAAAUACUGAUUUUGACAAAUGUAAUAAUAUAGUCCUAGCUUUUUACUAAUAGGCUUACAAGUGCAGAAUAAUCAAAGACUUGAACACUGUAAUGGUGAGACAUAGGUACAAAUGGAUGUGGCAGUAUUUAUAGCAGGCUAACAGCAACUGUUUUCUCCCUUCCAACUCUGUGUCCCCCAAAAAGUCAAUUUUGCUGGUAGGAAGCUAAUGUAGUUACCUACAAAAUGCAUUAUUAAAAACAAACAUCUUCAAAGUCCACAUGCUCUCGUGCGUCAAAGGCCAUCACAGAAUCACAGAAUGACCUGGGUUGGAAGGAACCUCAAGGAUCAUGUAGUUCCAACUACUUCUAAAGGUCUUUCUUAUGUAAUUCACUGCUACUUUGUACUUUAUUUCCUAUAGCGCCACUAGAGGAGAAUUCUCAGUGUAGGGGAAAAAAAAUAGACUUAAUUAACAAAAUGUCUGUCUAUUCCUGUUACUUUAAUGAAAAGCUGUUAAGUCCAGAAGGCACUGGAAUAUGUUGGAUUAUUAGUAGUAAAUAACUAUGUAAUUAUGCAGGUAUAAAAUACUGCGAGCAGUAAUGAAGAUAUCGGUGAAUCUGUGGAUUACAUUUUGAACCAAGAAUAAAGGAGCUCUGAGAGAGAACAGUGGCUGCCAAAAACUAUUCAUAUGCGCUUCCACUAUUGCAAAUUUAGGCAUACAACAGCUGUAUUAGCAGCAGCGCUACAAGACAGCUGUUUCUACAAGACACAGCAACAGAAUAUUUAGUUUACCUGCAGUUUUUACGGUUACUUUUCUAAAUCAGAAAGGAAAUAGUUUAUACAACACUCUACAGAAACCUGAGUAAGAAGAAAGCAUUUGUGAUAAACCUACUGACUUUCCAAGAGAACCAGAAGAAUCUGGAUCGUAAGUAAAAUAAGCUACUAGCACAAAAUAGUACCAUACCUGCUGGUCUUUGACAUUCCACAACUUAAGCACAGUGAGAUGACAGACAUGUUUAACUUUUGCAAUUGAAAAUACUGUCUGCUCGGUAGUCAGUAAUGAUGCAAAUAGCAAAUGGUAACUGAAGCAUGAAGUUCUUCCCAGGUACGACUUCUCAGGUUGGAUAUCCAUAACACAUGUGAUGAUGUUAAGUUUGGAAGCUUCUCAGAGAAGCUAAAGCACUCCUAUUGCUAGAGCACACAGCUUGCUUUUUAUUACAUUGUGCAGGUGUUGAAUGUAAGACAGAAAAAGGCAGAAAUGAUUAAGCACAGCAUGUUACACCAUCAGCAACUGAAGGUUUAAGAUUUAAAACACAUCAUUGGGUAAUCUUAAUCCUAUCCAAAGAGGUUCUCUCCGGGCACCUCAUGUUAACUGACAUGCCUAAUUAAAAUGAUGGCUAGAAAAUAUGGUGCUCCCCAGUGCAAAACGUUAGAACAUUAUACAACCGUGUUCAUUUCCUCUCAUUUUUAGCUUGAAAGGAUUGCAGUGGAACUUUCAUUAAAAUGCCUAUAUGGCAAGAAAAAAAAAGAGUCAACAUGCUGCACCAGACUCCAGAUGUAAAAAUUGACUUAGCCCAUAAAAAAUCAUGGGUUUAUUUGCAAUUUGAGAAUGCUGUGGACCAGGGAUUUUUCUGGUAUUCUCUGCAUUCAAGAAAUUUCACAUCAUUCCAGAGACUGCCAGAUGGCAAGGCAGCGUUACCGUUUUGUCAAGGAAUGUGAAACAAUCUUAUGACUCUGCAAUCCUGAUUUAGUAACACUUACGCAUAUGAAAGACAUGGUUUGUUUUCGGUUUCGGUGUUGUGUUUUCUUCCCCAUACAGAAAAGAUAAGCUGAUGAGUAUCAGCUGUUUCAAUUCAACCAGAAUUAUAGGAAGUAAAUGAGAACAAGAAUUAAAAACUGUUUGGGUAAAAAA
Molecule: non-coding RNA, 2270 nt
Organism: Coturnix japonica (Japanese quail)
Lineage: Eukaryota; Metazoa; Chordata; Aves; Galliformes; Phasianidae
Source: RefSeq, a predicted model, not a curated record